This 477-nucleotide ribosomal RNA is filed under the name Nosema granulosis. RNAcentral describes it as "SSU rRNA". It matches the Rfam family "Microsporidia small subunit ribosomal RNA", at positions 87 to 614 of the family's 1311-position model. Lineage: Eukaryota; Fungi; Microsporidia; Nosematidae. The record is from RNAcentral.
CUCAGUAACUCUUAUUUUAUUUGAUGUAUUAGGAUUAUAACUAUGUUAAAUUAUAGAUAACAAUAAUACAAUAAGAAUAAGAUCUAUCAGUUAGUUGUUAAGGUAAUGGCUUAACAAGACUAUGACGGAUAACGGUAUUACUUUGUAAUAUUCCGGAGAAGGAGCCUGAGAGAUUGCUACUAAGUCUAAGGAUUGCAGCAGGGGCGAAACUUGACCUAUGAUAUGAUAUUGAGGCAGUUAUGAGUAGUAUUUUUAAUUAUUGUAGUAUUGUAAGUAUAUACUACAAGAUAAAUCGGAGGGCAAAUCGAGUGCCAGCAGCCGCGGUAAUACUUGUUCCGAUAGUGUGUAUGAUGAUUGAUGCAGUUAAAAAGUCUGUAGUUUAUGAUUAAUAAGCAUUGUGAGGUAUAUUGUAUGGUUAGGAGAGAGAUGAAAUGUGAUAACCCUAACUGGAUGAACAGAAGCGAAAGCUAUAUACUU